CCUACGGGGGGCUGCAGUGGGGAAUAUUGGACAAUGGGGGGAACCCUGAUCCAGCCAUGCCGCGUGUGUGAAGAAGGCCCUCGGGUUGUAAAGCACUUUCAGUGAGGAAGAACGCCUGGUGGUUAAUACCCAUCAGGAAAGACAUCACUCACAGAAGAAGCACCGGCUAACUCCGUGCCAGCAGCCGCGGUAAUACGGAGGGUGCGAGCGUUAAUCGGAAUUACUGGGCGUAAAGCGCGCGUAGGUGGCUUGAUAAGCCGGUUGUGAAAGCCCCGGGCUCAACCUGGGAACGGCAUCCGGAACUGUCAAGCUAGAGUGCAGGAGAGGAAGGUAGAAUUCCCGGUGUAGCGGUGAAAUGCGUAGAGAUCGGGAGGAAUACCAGUGGCGAAGGCGGCCUUCUGGACUGACACUGACACUGAGGUGCGAAAGCGUGGGUAGCAAACAGGAUUAGAUACCCGGUAGUC
RNAcentral lists this ribosomal RNA (464 nucleotides) under Vreelandella stevensii. RNAcentral's name for it is "partial 16S ribosomal RNA". It matches the Rfam family "Bacterial small subunit ribosomal RNA", at positions 338 to 795 of the family's 1533-position model. The record is from RNAcentral. Lineage: Bacteria; Pseudomonadati; Pseudomonadota; Gammaproteobacteria; Oceanospirillales; Halomonadaceae.